UAUUGAAACUAUCGGUGAGGGUUGUUGCUGGCCUCUCGGGGCAUGUGCACGCCCGAACCUUUAAAUCCACACACACCUGUGAACCUAAUGUAAGGGCCCGUAACAAGGCCCCUACGUCUUAUCACAAACCCUUUGCAUGUUUCCAUAGAAUGUCAUUUAUAUCUUCGCCUUAAAAAGCGUUGGUAAACUUAUACAACUUUCAACAACGGAUCUCUUGGCUCUCGCAUCGAUGAAGAACGCAGCGAAAUGCGAUAAGUAAUGUGAAUUGCAGAUUUUCAGUGAAUCAUCGAAUCUUUGAACGCACCUUGCGCCCCUUGGUAUUCCGAGGGGCAUGCCUGUUUGAGUGUCAUUAAAUUCUCAACCCCGAAUCUUUUUCGGGGCUUGGACUUUGGAGUGUGCUGGCGUCCAGUCGGCUCCUCUCAAAUGCAUUGGCGGAAUUGAACCUUUGGUGUCUGUACGUCAGUGUGAUAAUCAACGUUGCGCUGUCAUCGGUCAUCGAAGUCCGCUUACAAUGGUCUUCGGACAAACCCUUCAUCAAAUUUGACCUCAAAUCAGGUAGGACUACCCGCUGAACUUAA
Molecule: ribosomal RNA, 578 nt
Filed under: uncultured Piloderma
Lineage: Eukaryota; Fungi; Basidiomycota; Agaricomycetes; Atheliales; Atheliaceae
Description: eukaryotic LSU rRNA
Rfam family: 5.8S ribosomal RNA (bases 195-349)
Source: RNAcentral